CUUUUACAAUGAAGAGUUUGAUCCUGGCUCAGGAUGAACGCUAGCUACAGGCUUAACACAUGCAAGUCGAGGGGCAGCAUUCUUCUAGCAAUAGAAGAGAUGGCGACCGGCGCACGGGUGAGUAACACGUAUCCAACCUGCCGAUAACUCCGGAAUAGCCUUUCGAAAGAAAGAUUAAUACCGGAUAGUAUACGAAUAUCGCAUGAUAUUUUUAUUAAAGAAUUUCGGUUAUCGAUGGGGAUGCGUUCCAUUAGUUUGUUGGCGGGGUAACGGCCCACCAAGACUACGAUGGAUAGGGGUUCUGAGAGGAAGGUCCCCCACAUUGGAACUGAGACACGGUCCAAACUCCUACGGGAGGCAGCAGUGAGGAAUAUUGGUCAAUGGGCGAGAGCCUGAACCAGCCAAGUAGCGUGAAGGAUGA
RNAcentral lists this ribosomal RNA (421 nucleotides) under Bacteroides ovatus. RNAcentral describes it as "bacterial SSU rRNA". It matches the Rfam family "Bacterial small subunit ribosomal RNA", at positions 1 to 411 of the family's 1533-position model. Lineage: Bacteria; Pseudomonadati; Bacteroidota; Bacteroidia; Bacteroidales; Bacteroidaceae. The record is from RNAcentral.